GACAGAGGGUGCAAGCGUUGUUCGGAAUUACUGGGCGUAAAGUGUGCGCAGGUGGCUUCGCAAGUCGAGUGUGAAAUCCCCGGGCUUAACCUGGGAAUUGCGCUCGAAACUACGGAGCUGGAGUAUGGCAGAGGGAGGUGGAAUUCCACGUGUAGCGGUGAAAUGCGUAGAGAUGUGGAGGAACACCAAUGGCGAAGGCAGCCUCCUGGGCCAAUACUGACACUCAUGCACGAAAGCGUGGGGAGCAAACAGG
This 253-nucleotide ribosomal RNA is filed under the name uncultured bacterium. Its description in RNAcentral is "partial 16S ribosomal RNA". It matches the Rfam family "Bacterial small subunit ribosomal RNA", at positions 524 to 776 of the family's 1533-position model. The record is from RNAcentral.